AUGAGUUAGGGUCUCCUAGGCCCGACCUCCCAACCCUCUGUCUACAAAACCUCUGUUGCUUUGGCGAACCCGUCUCACACGUGGGACCGCCAGAGGAUCGUCUAACUGGCGUCCUCCGGCCCGUGUUCGCCGAUAGCCCAAACCCCCAACUCUUGGAAUAAUCAUGAUAUAUUGUCUAAGUGAAUUUACUCAAUUAAAAGCAA
RNAcentral lists this unclassified non-coding RNA (203 nucleotides) under uncultured Cladophialophora. RNAcentral's name for it is "sequence contains ITS1". The record is from RNAcentral. Lineage: Eukaryota; Fungi; Ascomycota; Eurotiomycetes; Chaetothyriales; Herpotrichiellaceae.